CACACUCUGUUUGGACAUCCACUCACACCUGUGCACCUUCUGUAGUUCUGUGGCUUGGGGGACUCUGUCCUACUGCUGCGGUUCUACAUCUUUACACACACACUGUAAUAAAGUCUCAUGGAAUGUAUGUGGCGUUUAACGCAAUACAAUACAACUUUCAGCAACGGAUCUCUUGGCUCUCNCAUCGAUGAAGAACGCAGCGAAAUGCGAUAAGUAAUGUGAAUUGCAGAAUUCAGUGAAUCAUCGAAUCUUUGAACGCACCUUGCGCCCUUUGGCUAUUCCGAAGGGCAUGCCUGUUUGAGUAUCGUGAACACCUCAACUCUCAUGGUUCGCCAUGAUGAGCUUGGACUUUGGGGGUUUUGCUGGCCUGCAGCCGGCUCCUCUCAAAUGAAUCAGCUUGCCAGUGUUUGGUGGCAUCACAGGUGUGAUAACUAUCUACGCUUGUGGUUUC
RNAcentral lists this ribosomal RNA (451 nucleotides) under uncultured Thelephoraceae. RNAcentral describes it as "eukaryotic LSU rRNA". The stretch from base 153 to 307 matches the Rfam family "5.8S ribosomal RNA". Lineage: Eukaryota; Fungi; Basidiomycota; Agaricomycetes; Thelephorales; Thelephoraceae. The record is from RNAcentral.